UACGGAGGGGGCAAGCGUUGUUCGGAAUUACUGGGCGUAAAGGGCGCGCAGGCGGCUGCUCAAGUCAGGCGUGAAAGGCCUGGGCUCAACCCGGGAAUUGCGCUUGAGACUGGGCUGGCUCGAGCACUGUAGGGGCGGGUGGAAUUCCGGGUGUAGCGGUGGAAUGCGUAGAGAUCCGGAAGAACACCGGUGGCGAAGGCGGCCCGCUGGGCAGGAAGGCUCGCAAGAGCCGGCUGACACUGAGGCGCGACAGCGUGGGGAGCAAACAGG
Molecule: ribosomal RNA, 270 nt
Filed under: uncultured bacterium
Lineage: Bacteria
Description: partial 16S ribosomal RNA
Rfam family: Bacterial small subunit ribosomal RNA
Source: RNAcentral